UACGGAGGAUCCGAGCGUUAUCCGGAUUUAUUGGGUUUAAAGGGAGCGUAGGUGGAUUGUUAAGUCAGUUGUGAAAGUUUGCGGCUCAACCGUAAAAUUGCAGUUGAAACUGGCAGUCUUGAGUACAGUAGAGGUGGGCGGAAUUCGUGGUGUAGCGGUGAAAUGCUUAGAUAUCACGAAGAACUCCGAUUGCGAAGGCAGCUCACUGGACUGCAACUGACACUGGGGCUCGAAAGUGUGGGUAUCAAAUAGG
RNAcentral lists this ribosomal RNA (253 nucleotides) under uncultured bacterium. RNAcentral's name for it is "partial 16S ribosomal RNA". It matches the Rfam family "Bacterial small subunit ribosomal RNA", at positions 524 to 776 of the family's 1533-position model. The record is from RNAcentral.